Molecule: ribosomal RNA, 515 nt
Filed under: uncultured bacterium
Lineage: Bacteria
Description: partial 16S ribosomal RNA
Rfam family: Bacterial small subunit ribosomal RNA
Source: RNAcentral
GACGAACGCUGGCGGCGUGCCUAAUACAUGCAAGUCGAACGCUUCCUACCGGUGCUUGCACCGGGAAAGAAGAGUGGCGGACGGGUGAGUAACACGUGGGUAACCUACCUACAAGCGGGGGAUAACAUUCGGAAACGGAUGCUAAUACCGCAUAGAUCUUUUUGUCUCCUGGCAGAAAGAAGAAAGACGGUUUCGGCUGUCACUUGUAGAUGGACCCGCGGCGCAUUAGUGAGUUGGUGAGGUAAUGGCUCACCAAGACGAUGAUGCGUAGCCGACCUGAGAGGGUGAUCGGCCACACGGGGACUGGGACACGGCCCAGACUCCGACGGGAGGCAGCAGUAGGGAAUCUUCCGCAAUGGACGAAAGUCUGACGGAGCAACGCCGCGUGAGUGAAGAAGGUUUUCGGAUCGUAAAACUCUGUUGUUAGAGAAGAACAAGGAUGAGAGUAACUGCUCGUCCCUUGACGGUAUCUAACCAGAAAGCCAUGGCUAACUACGUGCCAGCAGCCGCCGUAA